RNAcentral lists this ribosomal RNA (253 nucleotides) under uncultured bacterium. RNAcentral's name for it is "partial 16S ribosomal RNA". It matches the Rfam family "Bacterial small subunit ribosomal RNA", at positions 524 to 776 of the family's 1533-position model. The record is from RNAcentral.
UACAGAGGUCCCAAGCGUUGUUCGGAUUCACUGGGUGUAAAGGGUGCGUAGGCGGUCGGGUAAGUCUGAUGUGAAAUCUCACAGCUUAACUGUGAAACUGCAUUGGAUACUAUCCGGCUCGAGGAAUGGAGGGGAGACUGGAAUACUUGGUGUAGCAGUGAAAUGCGUAGAUAUCAAGUGGAACACCAGUGGCGAAGGCGAGUCUCUGGACAUUUCCUGACGCUGAGGCACGAAAGCCAGGGGAGCAAACGGG